Gasterosteus aculeatus aculeatus (three-spined stickleback) is the source of this 257-nucleotide unclassified non-coding RNA. It matches the Rfam family "RNase MRP". From Rfam's summary of the family: RNase MRP is an enzymatically active ribonucleoprotein with two distinct roles in eukaryotes. In mitochondria it plays a direct role in the initiation of mitochondrial DNA replication. In the nucleus it is involved in precursor rRNA processing, where it cleaves the internal transcribed spacer 1 between 18S and 5.8S rRNAs. The record is from Ensembl. Lineage: Eukaryota; Metazoa; Chordata; Actinopteri; Perciformes; Gasterosteidae.
GGGCAUUCCGAAGACUUGCUCUCUGGGCUACAUACGGGGAACCUGGUUUCUCUCCUCCCGCCCAGGGGAAAGUCCCCGGACAGACGGCAGAAAGUGCCCUGGGUGAAUCCAGUGUCGGCCCGCGCCUCGUCCAAUGGCGGCUGAGAUGUUCGUGUGAACGGAGCCCGACGGUCGUAGGCCGGCUUUGUCAGCUUCUCUAGUAAUGCAAGUUCGCUGUUUCGGCGCUUAACCAGAACGGGGCUCAUUCUCGGAAUGCC